Molecule: unclassified non-coding RNA, 400 nt
Filed under: uncultured bacterium
Lineage: Bacteria
Description: contains 16S-23S intergenic spacer region
Rfam family: Bacterial small subunit ribosomal RNA
Source: RNAcentral
UCCGGUUUGACACCGGCAGUCUCUCAUGAGUCCCCGACAUUACUCGCUGUAAACGAUGGGCACUAGGUGUCGGCGGUAUACAUCCCGUCGGUGCCGGCGCUAACGCAGUAAGUGCCCCGCCUGGGGAGUACGGUCGCAAGGCUGAAACUCAAACGAAUUGACGGGGGCCCGCACAAGCGGUGGAGCAUGUGGUUUAAUUCGACGCAACGCGAAGAACCUUACCUGGGUUUGACAUGCACUGGACCGGCAGUGAAAACUGUCUUCCCUUCGGGGCUGGUGCACAGGUGCUGCAUGGCUGUCGUCAGCUCGUGUCGUGAGAUGUUGGGUUAAGUCCCGCAACGAGCGCAACCCUUGCCCUCUGUUGCUACCGGGUCAUGCCGGGCACUCUGAGGGGACUGCC